RNAcentral lists this unclassified non-coding RNA (312 nucleotides) under fungal sp. Its description in RNAcentral is "partial internal transcribed spacer region". The stretch from base 1 to 46 matches the Rfam family "Eukaryotic small subunit ribosomal RNA", at positions 1786 to 1831 of the family's 1831-position model. The record is from RNAcentral. Lineage: Eukaryota; Fungi.
AAGUCGUAACAAGGUAACCGUAGGUGAACCUGCGGUUGGAUCAUUACCAAUGAUUGGGGCCAGUUGAGAUUUAUUUUUCCUGGUUACUCAAAUCAAACACCCAUCUUUGUGCACCCUAUCACGUCUCUGGUGGCCGCAAGAGUUCUCUGUUUGGAGAAUCUCUUCUAGUUCAUUUUGUUCUCCGGACAAAUGAAUGAAGCCACCAAAUGUUUUUAUAUAAUACACCAUUUUGCCAUCCAAAUUAUUGUCUAACAUUGAUUUUUGUGUAAAAAAUACAUAAAACAACUUUUGGCAACGGAUCUCUUGGCUCUC